CCAAACCACAAUGGAACACAAAGGGACUGUAGACAUCUUAAGCAGUGUUGCUUUAGGAAGCAUUAAUGGUUUUUGUUGUUGUGGUUAAUCAAGUCCAUUUCUCCCAGCUGUCUUCCAGAGCCCUCCCAACCUCCUGUGUAGGUGGGGGUCGGAGGGUGGGGGGCUCAUGGAAGUGUGUUUGGGGUGGUCCUCUGUCACUGUCUAGAAGUACUGCUGGUUGCCUCUAGCAUGUCUGCCUUGGAGAAGAUUCAGGGCUCCAGCAGAGCCAUCAAAUAUCUCUUCUUCAGAUCAACUGGACAAAGGAGGUUGGUGUGCAUAUAUAUACCCUGUCUGCCUGUUGUCCAGAAAAGAAUUCAGUCUUCCCAUUAAGCAUCGCAACAAACUAGUUGGACUCUGCAGCAUUGAGGCAGCCUGGAGUACCUUUGUAGGCUAUGUCCAGGGAUCAGAAGGUCAGCAGGAGUCAACGAGGCUGGGUCACUAGAUCCCCCCAGUGUUGGAGCUUGUCGGUCACAGUGACAUCCAAUGGAUUCAUUAACAUAGCAAUCGGGAAAGAGACUAGAAGGCCCGGCUUCCGGGGAAUGCCACGCUUUUGUUUUAAAUCCCCACAUUGGAUCC
RNAcentral lists this long non-coding RNA (615 nucleotides) under Mus spretus (western wild mouse). RNAcentral describes it as "predicted gene 13647 (ENSMSPG00010036046.1)". The record is from RNAcentral. Lineage: Eukaryota; Metazoa; Chordata; Mammalia; Rodentia; Muridae.